AGUGAACGCUGGCGGUAGGCCUAACACAUGCCAGUCGAACGGCAGCACAGUAAGAGCUUGCUCUUACGGGUGGCGAGUGGCGGACGGGUGAGGAAUACAUCGGAAUCUACUUUUUCGUGGGGGAUAACGUAGGGAAACUUACGCUAAUACCGCAUACGACCUACGGGUGAAAGCAGGGGAUCUUCGGACCUUGCGCGAUUGAAUGAGCCGAUGUCGGAUUAGCUAGUUGGCGGGGUAAAGGCCCACCAAGGUGACGAUCCGUAGCUGGUCUGAGAGGAUGAUCAGCCACACUGGAACUGAGACACGGUCCAGACUCCUACGGGAGGCAGCAGUGGGGAAUAUUGGACAAUGGGCGCAAGCCUGAUCCAGCCAUACCGCGUGGGUGAAGAAGGCCUUCGGGUUGUAAAGCCCUUUUGUUGGGAAAGAAAAGCAGCAGGUUAAUACCCCACUGUUCUGACGGUACCCAGAGAAUAAGCACCGGCUAACUUCGUG
RNAcentral lists this ribosomal RNA (492 nucleotides) under uncultured bacterium. Its description in RNAcentral is "partial 16S ribosomal RNA". It matches the Rfam family "Bacterial small subunit ribosomal RNA", at positions 29 to 507 of the family's 1533-position model. The record is from RNAcentral.